AGGCGCGUAGCUCAGUGGUAGAGCACCACGUUGACAUCGUGGGGGUCGGUGGUUCAAUCCCACUCGCGCCUACCA
Molecule: transfer RNA, 75 nt
Filed under: Ectothiorhodospiraceae bacterium AqS1
Lineage: Bacteria; Pseudomonadati; Pseudomonadota; Gammaproteobacteria; Chromatiales; Ectothiorhodospiraceae
Also listed under: 4 other names
Description: tRNA-Val
Rfam family: tRNA
About the family: Transfer RNA (tRNA) molecules are approximately 80 nucleotides in length.
Source: RNAcentral